CGCCUGAUACUUGCUUUAACCU
RNAcentral lists this microRNA (22 nucleotides) under Blattella germanica (German cockroach). RNAcentral's name for it is "Bge-Mir-87-P2b_5p* (star (passenger))". Lineage: Eukaryota; Metazoa; Arthropoda; Insecta; Blattodea; Blattellidae. The record is from RNAcentral.